RNAcentral lists this ribosomal RNA (435 nucleotides) under uncultured Dorea sp. RNAcentral's name for it is "partial 16S ribosomal RNA". It matches the Rfam family "Bacterial small subunit ribosomal RNA", at positions 341 to 792 of the family's 1533-position model. Lineage: Bacteria; Bacillati; Bacillota; Clostridia; Lachnospirales; Lachnospiraceae. The record is from RNAcentral.
ACGGAAGGCAGCAGUGGGGAAUAUUGCACAAUGGGCGAAAGCCUGAUGCAGCGACGUCGCGUGAAGGAUGAAGUAUUUCGGUAUGUAAACUUCUAUCAGCAGGGAAGAUAAUGACGGUACCUGACUAAGAAGCCCUGGCUAACUACGUGCCAGCAGCCGCGGUAAUACGUAGGGGGGCAAGCGUUAUCCGGAUUUACUGGGUGUAAAGGGAGCGUAGACGGCAUGGCAAGCCAGAUGUGAAAACCCGGGGCUCAACCCCGGGACUGCAUUUGGAACUGUCAAGCUAGAGUCUCGGAGAGGCAAGUGGAAUUCCUAGUGUAGCGGUGAAAUGCGUAGAUAUUAGGAGGAACACCAGUGGCGAAGGCGGCUUGCUGGACGAGUACUGACGUUCAGGCUCGAAAGCGUGGGGAGCAAACAGGAUUAGAUACCCUGGUA